RNAcentral lists this ribosomal RNA (252 nucleotides) under uncultured Promicromonosporaceae bacterium. RNAcentral's name for it is "partial 16S ribosomal RNA". It matches the Rfam family "Bacterial small subunit ribosomal RNA", at positions 526 to 777 of the family's 1533-position model. The record is from RNAcentral. Lineage: Bacteria; Bacillati; Actinomycetota; Actinomycetes; Micrococcales; Promicromonosporaceae.
CGUAGGGCGCAAGCGUUGUCCGGAAUUAUUGGGCGUAAAGAGCUCGUAGGUGGUUUGUCGCGUCUGGUGUGAAAUCCCGGGGCUUAACUUCGGGCGUGCAUCGGGUACGGGCAGGCUAGAGUGCGGUAGGGGAGACUGGAAUUCCUGGUGUAGCGGUGGAAUGCGCAGAUAUCAGGAGGAACACCGAUGGCGAAGGCAGGUCUCUGGGCCGCAACUGACGCUGAGGAGCGAAAGCAUGGGGAGCGAACAGGA